Molecule: long non-coding RNA, 1022 nt
Organism: Pecten maximus
Lineage: Eukaryota; Metazoa; Mollusca; Bivalvia; Pectinida; Pectinidae
Exons: 3
Source: RefSeq, a predicted model, not a curated record
UGACGACUUCACGUUUGCCAUUACCUGCCAAGAGACCACCCGGCCUAUCCCCAAGUUUGGAGAGACACUGUCAUGCUCGUUUGAUAAUAUCAAGUUCCCGACUUCAAAGGGGAAUUGUCCAGCACCUGGAGUAUUCGUCAUUAACACCAAAGGCACCGGUCUGAUGAUAGACACAGGCCUAACAUGGGAAACAAAAGGCUAUGCACCCCGAUUAGAAUCAAUGUAUCGUUCUACUGAUGGUCACGUGAUUCAGGCUGCAUUUGAUGGAUGGUGUGGCCGCUAUGUUCCUUCCGAUACUAUGUAUCUGAUGGCCGACAGUCACGGAGAACAAAGAGGGACGGCAUCUAUUCCGAUUUGUCCUGAUUUGUGAGAAGUCAACAGAUCCCACAAUACAAAUUCAUUCUUCGGAGUCGCAUCAAAGUUGUAAGCCUAGCACAAGAAACCUGCAAUGCGCAACCUGGAAUAUGUGUGGUGUCUUAGAACAAGGACAAUGAUUCUUAAAAGGAUACAAAUGAUGUUUUGAAGAGUACAUCCUUUGAGGAAUAAAACAUGGCGUAUUUAUUCGAUAAAUUAACUCGUAUUGCAUUUUGAUUAUGUCUAAAGGCGGAAGAGUGACGGUGAACCGCCUAUCAUGUGGAAUAGUUAGUACUUAGCAGGGCCACAAUUAUGAAUCACGUGAUUUGUGUGGAAGCGACACAAUAGAGGUCCAAGUCACGUGAUAAAUUUCAAAUAUGACAAAGUGAGGACCUUCGUCAUUACAUAUGAUUAUAUUAUGAUAUUAACAACGAAAGCGUACGGGCUGAUGUUACAAUGUUAUACUCAUGUUUCCAUUGAUAACGCCAUGUUUAUGCCUUUAUCUAGCGUGUAAUAUUAUGUAAUCAUAUUCAUCCUUACAUGACACGUCCCACAUGAAUAAUUGGCAAGCUUUGCCCUGGGAUGUUCGGCAAUUUGUCCGACAGCAUGAUUGUGUAACGUUGCAUAACAUUUUUUCUAAGAAUAAUCUCCGGAAUAUUCCUCCAUUU